UGAGGAAUAUUGGACAAUGGACGAAAGUCUGAUCCAGCGAUGCCGCGUGAAGGAUGAAGGCCCUAGGGUUGUAAACUUCUGUCAGCAGGGAAGAUAAUGACGGUACCUGCAGAGGAAGCCCCGGCUAACUCCGUGCCAGCAGCCGCGGUAAUACGGAGGGGGCAAACGUUAUUCGGAUUUACUGGGCGUAAAGGGUUCGUAGGCGGUUUUUUAAGUUAGAUGUGAAAGCUUGAAGCUUAACUUCAAAAUAGCAUCUAAAACUGAAUUACUAGAUUCUUGGAGAGGUAGAUGGAAUUACCGGUGUAGCGGUGAAAUGCGUAGAUAUCGGUAGGAACACCAGUGGCGAAAGCGAUCUACUGGACAAGUAAUGACGCUGAGGGACGAAAGCGUGGGUAGCAAACAGG
RNAcentral lists this ribosomal RNA (404 nucleotides) under uncultured bacterium. RNAcentral describes it as "bacterial SSU rRNA". It matches the Rfam family "Bacterial small subunit ribosomal RNA", at positions 355 to 776 of the family's 1533-position model. The record is from RNAcentral.